This 2241-nucleotide long non-coding RNA is filed under the name Triticum aestivum (bread wheat). RNAcentral describes it as "long non-coding RNA (TAES_LNC002276)". The record is from RNAcentral. Lineage: Eukaryota; Viridiplantae; Streptophyta; Magnoliopsida; Poales; Poaceae.
UAAUGUUGAUCACUCAGAUUGUCCUCCUCUCCUUCUACAAUUUUGUUGUUCGUGUACGCUACCCUAUCCCCUGGUCAAAAAGCAAUUACCGAUUAGUGCAAAGGGAUAACAUAGAGAGGGCAGAAAAAUGACUGGUGCAACUCCCAGCCACAUCUCUCCCAAAUUCAUCUCCAUCGCCGACCAAAUACGAGUGCAAAUUCGCUUGCUCCGUAGCCUCUCAACCAUGUCAGGUGUAAAUAUUGCCAAUUGUUUCAUAUAGAUUGAAUGGAUCAACUAACGAAAAGAUAAUGCUAUGAAAUAUAGGUUCCCCACGUCGUGGCUAUGUCCUCAGUUUUCUUUUACCCAUGCUGAUAGACCUUGUAAUCGUUUUCGCUUUAAUGUUCAAGCUCCUCCUAUACUCACUUCUCACAUUAUUUCUUCAAGUCAUUUGAACCUGUAGGAGUUGGCAUAUUCGCUCAAGCUAAACCUGAUACUGAGUUAUGUUACAUGAAAAUGCCAUUAAUUCUUCAUGAUUGUUUAAUGCACAGCUCUUAGCAGUCCACAAUCUUCUCUGGGAUGGUCAACAAGUUCAUGCAAUAGAAGGUUAGCUUGCAAAGUACCCAAAAACAACACAAUUCUAAGUCCAGCACCUUGGCGUACACAGCCAUAUAAGGUUUUUUAUUCCUUAAACCUUGCAUGUAAUAAGCAUGUAAUAUCUCAUGUCUAAGGAACGAAUGAGAUUUGCGACUUCCUAGAGAGGCCUCAAUUGGUUUAGAGUCAUACAUCAUUACAUUGAGGAGUGAAAUACCUAAUUUAUAUUCUUCAGAGAUUAUCUUAAGAGAAAAGAAUAUUGUGUAAAGGCAAUAUGCUCUUCAAUUCUCGAAUUGCCUACCAAAUGAGAAGAAUGCAAACACAAACAUGGCAACCAAUUUUUUUGUUGGAAAUUAUAUCUACAAGAUAAAAAUUACGACACAUCUACUUGUAAUGUACAAAUAGACAUAUUAGUCAUGUGCCCUAGUAAAGCAGGAAACAAACCCAUCCUUCGACUUUUGAGGUCCAGUACAAAUGCUUGUUACAAUGGUAGAAGUGACAACAAUACCAAUGGAAAUUAGAAGUAUAUAUACUGAAAAAAAUGAACUUUGAUUAUAUAGCAUGUUGUUUUUCAUGGUAUAGGGCUAGUGAUAAAAUUCACAAACUGUAGCAAAUAAAUAAAAACCAAAUUCGGGCUACAACACAGAACACCAAAUUUCAGUUGUUUCUUUUCUCGCCGUCAUUUUUUGCUUUGUACAUGGAAUCAUGAAAGUAACACAGGCAGGGACAAAAGAUCACACCAUGGCUAAGAUAGUUUAUCGUAUCUAUUAUUAAAUUCAGUUGCACUCUUCAUGAACUCUAAAUCCCUAUGGUUGUCCAAAAGUGGACACGGGUCUAAAGGUAGUACUUGGGGUUGGGGCAACAUCAUAUUCCUCCUCUGUCGUCUUUCCUAAACUCCUUUCUCUUGCCAAAAUUUGGACUGUAUCACUGCUUUCAAUUGUCUGAAACCAACAGAAUGUCUGCACAACAUUCCCAUAUGCCUGAAAAUAUUCUGGACGUGCACAACACAUAUUGACAGACAUGGAUUGACGGUUUUCAUGUCUUAUAAAAGCUUGACAGUCUUGACAUGUCAUUUGUUAUUGAAUACUAAGCAAGCGUUGAGCAAAGGUACCUUAAGUUUUGCUUACGGAAUGUUGCUCCUGACUAAUCGCUAUGCAUUACGGUGAGAAUAUUGUACACCUUGCUGAGGCUGAAAUUAUUUACUUUGAGAUUCUUGAUGAAAUUUUUUCAUAAGAACUGGAUUGAUCUCACUGUGUGAGUUCCACUGCCUCUUCUCUUCACAAAUUGCAGAUAGAGGGUGAUUUUGCUGGUUCCUGAAUAUGCUCACAUACCAACCUGCUUUGCAUGGAGGAGAUGCAUCCUCGCCUUCAUUCUGUUUUGCACGAAGAAGAAUUACCUUUGUCCCUCUUAACCUGCACACAAAAAACCAAAGAAUACAAUGACAAUCCUACUGUCUAGAAUAUAAAUACCAAACAAUUACAAAGCAUGAAAAUCUUUUAAGCGCAAGACCAUCAUGGAAUGGAUGGGGAAAUGAGAAUAAUAUAGCUGUACUACAAUUUCAAGCAAGACGCUAUGUAACUGACCUAGCACCAGCACACAAUUUUGUGCAUCAACUGGUAACGUUCAAGCCCUCAUCUCGGCUUUCCAUGAUGAAUUCUGAAAUCAUUCUCC